Molecule: microRNA precursor, 95 nt
Filed under: Canis lupus familiaris (dog)
Lineage: Eukaryota; Metazoa; Chordata; Mammalia; Carnivora; Canidae
Description: mir-8799 microRNA precursor family
Rfam family: mir-8799 microRNA precursor family
Source: Rfam by way of RNAcentral
GGGGGGUGUUCGGAUCCUGGGCUGUGUCCCCGGUGCCCAGUGCUCCCGGGCCUGUGCUGUUGGUUGGAUUCGCGCUCCAGGUCGCGCAGCUGCCU